UUAAGCUUGCGCCCAUGAACCGCCUCCAGUCCACACUUCGACGUCGCCGCUCGCUUCCCGUCCCGGAUGCCGCCGGCUCGUCACGGACUCGCGCCUAACCCGCUUCCCUGUUACGCGCAAGCUGUUCGAACCAUCCAGCCACGGCAUGCACCGUGGCUUUUUU
Molecule: non-coding RNA, 163 nt
Filed under: Burkholderia singularis
Lineage: Bacteria; Pseudomonadati; Pseudomonadota; Betaproteobacteria; Burkholderiales; Burkholderiaceae
Description: Burkholderia sRNA 7
Rfam family: Burkholderia sRNA 7
About the family: Did not show any change in expression in iron-depletion and hydrogen peroxide (oxidative stress) treatment. Constitutively expressed.
Source: Rfam by way of RNAcentral